CCUUAUUCAUUAGGGGUUCCAACAUGUUAGGGAGUUUUUCUCCCAGGCUGAUGCUCCUUUUAGAAAUAAAUGCACUGGCUAUGGGAAUAGGAAAUAGUGGGAAAGAGGCCCCUUAGUGGGGCCGAAUGAAUUUAGGCUGGGGCCCCCUCCCCCUGGUUGUACGUGUUUAGGCACUCCUCACUCCUACCCCUCCCACCCCCCUUGUGGCUAGAACAAUGGGCUAGUAAGUCUCGGCGGGAAAAAGGGGGGCGGGAGGAGGGAGCUGAGGGGAGUGUCGUGGGGGUGGUUUAGGGGUUAAAAGGAGAAGCAGAGCAGGAGAGCGGGUAUUAACUGUUGUGUGCAAAACACAUUAGCAGAUGCACUGUCAAGGGAAAAGUGGGAUAUUUUCUUUAAACUGGCACCGAAUGCGUCAAAAAUAGCUCAUGCAUGCCCUGAUAAUCUGUGGCAGUUGGUGACCCAAUCCUAGAAGAUCUAUUUGAAAGGUCGGUAUCAGAAAAAACUGUUUCUACCUACAAAAGGGAAUGGGAAAGAUGGCAGCUAUUCUGCAAGGAUGCAGGGGGUACAACUCCUUGCAGAAUCGUGAUCAUAGGCCAUUCAUUUGUUUAUUGGGCAAGCAGACAUGCAGCAGGGCAAGAAUGGGGGUUACCGGAGGAAAACAUGAAGACUGCAUGGCUGGGCUGGAGAGGUAUGAGGUGGGAACAAUUGAAAGGUAGGUUGGUCUCUACCCUCCGGCAAUGUGAAUUUGUUGAUCUGCUAGUGAUACAUGCAGGAGGAAAUGACUUGACAGUGGGAAAGACUCCAGCACUAAUAGAGGCCAUGAGACAAGAUAUGGGGGAGGUGAUAGGAAACCCGAAGGUGAGGAAGAUAGCAUGGUCGGACAUUAUACAAAGGGGAGAAUGGAGAGGAGCAAUUGACCCUAAAGGUGUGGAGAAAGCAAGGAAGAAAGUAAACAGAGCCAUGCACAAAAUCAUGUAUUCCUCCGGUAAUGGGAUAAUAAGGCAUGAGAAUAUAAAAUACAAGCAAAGAGGUCUUUAUAGAUACGAUAGAGUACAUUUAUCACGAGAGGGUUUGGAUUUGUUUUUGAAAAACAUUGGUAAGUUUGUGGAGGACUGGUGGAGGUCACAGGCCAGAUAGGUGGGCCAUGGAAAAAGGGAUAGUAGGCACCCUUCCCUAUUUUUCCAGUGGGUGGCGUCAGCACGGCUCCGGAAAUGGUGAGAUUUACAGUGCAGGCCUACCUUUGGAGAGUCACUAGCGUGGAUCAGACUGAGACUGCACGGUCUUGUCUGAGUUCAGCUGAGAGGCUGGGUUAGCGCCACUAUUGCACAUGAUAGGGAGCAAGAGGAUGGGUAACCGUAGGUCACAGAGUGCGUUUUGCCCUGAAUCUCUGCUCCCUGUAAGUCGGUAAAGGUAUGGGCGGAGGCCCAGAGGAAAUGAUAGGAGCCGCAGCUGUGGGUCAGGGGUGCCUAGUCCUUUUGUGAAUUUGUAAAUAAAGAACGUGACCUCCACAGAUUUUGCCACUA
Xenopus laevis (African clawed frog) is the source of this 1520-nucleotide long non-coding RNA. RefSeq lists it as uncharacterized. The record is from RefSeq and is a predicted model, not a curated record. NCBI's taxonomy places the organism in Eukaryota, Metazoa, Chordata, Amphibia, Anura, Pipidae. The transcript has 2 exons.